CAUAUGUAAUUUAGUUCUUGAAAUGAGAACUCUUAAUAUAGCACACAAUGUGAUGAGAAUGUCUUAAGCAUCAGGAGGUGACCUGCCUCCAUGGAAUAUUGGAAAUUGAGAGAAUGAGAAUGUCUUAAGCAUCAGGAGGUGACCUGCCUCCAUGGAAUAUUGGAAAUUGAGAGAAUGAGAAUUUCUUUAUAACAUAUUUUACUGAUGUUCACUAUUCGAGAGAAUGAGAAUGGAUGCAAGCAGGAGGGUUGUUGCAGAGUGGAAUGAUGGUUUAUAUUUCGUGCUAUUGCUACAGUACCAUUGGAGCAAAAGGAGAAUCUAGGAAACAUUUUGACAAUAUGUUAUCCUUCAUGCAUUUGCACAAUCCUCACUUCUAGCUUUGGUGUUAUCUUUCUGGUACAAUAUAUAAUUAGGUUAGUGGCGCCAACAGUCGUGUGAACACAGGUUGAAUCAUAUCACCAUGCAAAAUGGGUGACAUGCCAUGCCGACCUCUCCCGGAUGUGUGCCAAGACCACUCAGUGGCCUUUACUAUCUUGCACAUCAAGGACGAUGAUUCUUCCUGUACAUAAUGGUGUGCACAAACUUCCUACUUGGUUUGAUAAACUUGAAGAGAGUCGACAAAGAUGCAAAAUGUGAGCUUGAGGCCUGGGGAUGGUUUAUCCGCAAGGUUCAAAACUUCAGGAACCCAAAAAACAUAUAAAGAACUCACUUUUGGGUGGUGCACAACAAUAUAGUCAAAUGCUCUUAUAAUAAACCUGCAGGACAAUGUAUGCAUCAGCUUAUCAGUGGCAUGUUCCAAUUGUUCCUAUAAAAAUAGUAUUGGUUUAUGGGUUCUUCAAAUUCUUUCCCAGGAGGAAGUGUGGGUUUCAUAGGAGUGAACAUUUCAAAAGGUGGCUCUAUUUGUUAAUUUGGCUUAUGGAUCCUUCAU
Molecule: long non-coding RNA, 928 nt
Filed under: Musa acuminata (dwarf banana)
Lineage: Eukaryota; Viridiplantae; Streptophyta; Magnoliopsida; Zingiberales; Musaceae
Description: long non-coding RNA (MACU_LNC005534)
Source: RNAcentral